Molecule: unclassified non-coding RNA, 335 nt
Filed under: soil metagenome
Description: partial contains 5.8S ribosomal RNA, internal transcribed spacer 2, and large subunit ribosomal RNA
Rfam family: 5.8S ribosomal RNA (bases 1-121)
Source: RNAcentral
GAUGAAGAACGUAGCGAAAUGCGAUAAGUAAUGCGAAUUGCAGAAUUUCCGUGAGUCAUCGAAUCUUUGAACGCACAUUGCGCCCCCCAGUAUUCUGGCGGGCAUGCCUGUUCGAGCGUCAUUUCAACCAUCAAGCCCUGCUUGUGUUGGGGUCCUGCGGCUGCCCGCAGGCCCUGAAAACCAGUGGCGGGCUCGCUAGUCACACCGAGCGCAGUAGCACAUCUCGCUCAGGGCGUGCGGCGGGCUCCAGCCGUUAAAGCACCCACCUUUCGCAAGGUUGACCUCGGAUCAGGUAGGAAUACCCGCUGAACUUAAGCAUAUCAAUAAGCGGAGGA